CAGCAGCCGCGGUAAUACAAGGGGGGCAAGCGUUGUUCGGAUUUAUUGGGCGUAAAGGGUGCGUAGGCGGUUUGGCAAGUCUUGUGUGAAAUCUUCGGGCUCAACCCAUAGCCUGCACGAGAAACUACCGGGCUUGAGUAUUGGAGAGGUGAGUGGAAUUUCCGGUGUAGCGGUGAAAUGCGUAGAUAUCGGAAGGAACACCUGUGGCGAAAGCGGCUCACUGGACAAUAACUGACGCUGAUGCACGAAAGCUAGGGGAGCAAACAGGAUUAGAUACCCCGGUAGUCCCUGUCUCUUAUAC
This 301-nucleotide ribosomal RNA is filed under the name uncultured bacterium. Its description in RNAcentral is "partial 16S ribosomal RNA". It matches the Rfam family "Bacterial small subunit ribosomal RNA", at positions 509 to 807 of the family's 1533-position model. The record is from RNAcentral.